GACGAACGCUGGCGGCGCGCCUAACACAUGCAAGUCGAACGAGCGAGAGAGAGCUUGCUUUCUCGAGCGAGUGGCGAACGGGUGAGUAACGCGUGAGGAACCUGCCUCAAAGAGGGGGACAACAGUUGGAAACGACUGCUAAUACCGCAUAAGCCCACGGGUCGGCAUCGACCAGAGGGAAAAGGAGCAAUCCGCUUUGAGAUGGCCUCGCGUCCGAUUAGCUAGUUGGUGAGGUAACGGCCCACCAAGGCAACGAUCGGUAGCCGGACUGAGAGGUUGAACGGCCACAUUGGGACUGAGACACGGCCCAGACUCCUACGGGAGGCAGCAGUGGGGGAUAUUGCGCAAUGGGGGAAACCCUGACGCAGCAACGCCGCGUGAAGGAUGAAGGUCUUCGGAUUGUAAACUUCUUUUAUUAAGGACGAAGAAAGUGACGGUACUUAAUGAAUAAGCCCCGGCUAACUACGUG
Molecule: ribosomal RNA, 469 nt
Filed under: uncultured bacterium
Lineage: Bacteria
Description: bacterial SSU rRNA
Rfam family: Bacterial small subunit ribosomal RNA
Source: RNAcentral